UCAUUGCAACCCUCAAGCUCAGCUUGGUGUUGGGCACCGCCCCCCCGGGGUGGGCCCGAAAAUCAGUGGCGGUCCAGUGAGACUUCAAGCGUAGUAAAUUAUUCAUCCGCUUUGGAAGCUUCUCCCUGUGUGCCAGCCGGAAAACCCCAUAUUUUUCAAUGGUUGACCUCGGAUCAGGUAGGGAUACCCGCUGAACUUAA
RNAcentral lists this unclassified non-coding RNA (200 nucleotides) under soil metagenome. RNAcentral's name for it is "partial contains internal transcribed spacer 2 and large subunit ribosomal RNA". The record is from RNAcentral.